RNAcentral lists this ribosomal RNA (490 nucleotides) under uncultured bacterium. RNAcentral's name for it is "partial 16S ribosomal RNA". It matches the Rfam family "Bacterial small subunit ribosomal RNA", at positions 28 to 507 of the family's 1533-position model. The record is from RNAcentral.
GAUGAACGCUGGCGGUAGGCUUAACACAUGCAAGUCGAGGGGCAGCACGGUCUUAGCUUGCUAAGGCUGAGGGCGACCGGCGCACGGGUGCGUAACGCGUAUGCAACUUGACUAACAGAGGGGGAUAACCCGCCGAAAGACGGACCAAUAACGCGUACACGCUAUGUUGGGGAGCCAAGGUAGAGGAAAUGAAAGUCGCUGUGAGAUAGGCAUGCGUCCCAUUAGCUAGGUGGUGAGGUAACGGCUCACCAAGGCGACGAUGGGUAGGGGAACUGAGAGGGUGAAGCCCCACACUGGUACUGAGACACUGACCAGUCUCCUACGGGAGUCAGCAGUGAGGAAUAUUGGACACUGGGCGAGAGCCUGAACCAGCCAAGUCGCGUGAAGGAUGACUGUCUUAUGGAUUGUAAACUUCUGUUAUACGGGAAUAACAGGAGUCACGUGUGGCUCCCUGCAUGUACCGUAUAAAUAAGCACCGGCUAACUCCGUG